Molecule: ribosomal RNA, 541 nt
Filed under: uncultured Bacteroidota bacterium
Lineage: Bacteria; Pseudomonadati; Bacteroidota
Description: bacterial SSU rRNA
Rfam family: Bacterial small subunit ribosomal RNA
Source: RNAcentral
UGAGGAAUAUUGGACAAUGGAGGCAACUCUGAUCCAGCCAUGCCGCGUGCAGGAAGACUGCCCUAUGGGUUGUAAACUGCUUUUAUAUGGGAAGAAUAAGGUCUACGUGUAGAUUGAUGACGGUACCAUAAGAAUAAGCACCGGCUAACUCCGUGCCAGCAGCCGCGGUAAUACGGAGGGUGCAAGCGUUAUCCGGAAUCAUUGGGUUUAAAGGGUCCGUAGGCGGGCAUAUAAGUCAGUGGUGAAAGUCUGUGGCUCAACCAUAGAAUUGCCAUUGAUACUGUAUGUCUUGAAUUAUUGUGAAGUGGUUAGAAUAUGUAGUGUAGCGGUGAAAUGCUUAGAGAUUACAUAGAAUACCGAUUGCGAAGGCAGAUCACUAACAAUAUAUUGACGCUGAUGGACGAAAGCGUAGGUAGCGAACAGGAUUAGAUACCCUGGUAGUCUACGCCGUAAACGAUGGAUACUAGUUGUUUGGCUUUCGGGCUGAGUGACUAAGCGAAAGUGAUAAGUAUCCCACCUGGGGAGUACGUUCGCAAGAAUG